GCCAAGAAAAGAACCUAUCCCAGGUAUAGACAUCCUCAGACAAACCUAGAGAUAGGAAUUUCCCCUUAGGGGGACAGAGUGACAGGAGGUGCAUGGUUAUAUCAGCUCGUGUCGUGAGAUGUUGGGUUAAGUACCGCAACGAGCGCAACCCUUGAUUUUAGUUGCCAGCAUUCAGUUGGGCACUAUAAGAUGACCGCCGGAGACACGCCGGAGGAAGGUGGGGAUGACGUCAAAUCAUCAUGCCCAUUAUGACCUGGGCUACACACGUGCUACAAUGGACGGUACAAAGGGCAGCGAGACCGCGAGGUUUAGCCAAUCCCAUAAAACCGUUCUCAGUUCGGAUUGUAGGCUGCAACUCGCCUACAUGAAGCUGGAAUCGCUAGUAAUCGCGGAUCAGCAUGCCGCGGUGAAUACGUUCCCGGGCCUUGUACACACCGCCCGUCACACCACGAGAGUUUGUAACACCCGAAGUCGGUGAGGUAACCUUUGGAGCCAGCCGCCUAAGUUGAAAAAAAAAU
This 518-nucleotide ribosomal RNA is filed under the name Rossellomorea vietnamensis. Its description in RNAcentral is "bacterial SSU rRNA". It matches the Rfam family "Bacterial small subunit ribosomal RNA", at positions 956 to 1475 of the family's 1533-position model. Lineage: Bacteria; Bacillati; Bacillota; Bacilli; Caryophanales; Bacillaceae. The record is from RNAcentral.